AAAAAAGAAAAAAAAAACAACAGCCACGCAUCAUAACAUUCUCUCCCUCUCGUUUUGAUUCCGGUGAUCGGAGUAGAAUUCCGGCAACCACAGCACACCCAAACCUCUCCUCUGGUUAUACACUCCCUGUAAGACGACGGCGGUGGUGUGGCAGCCUCGGCGGCCGGCGAAGCAACCCCAUGUCUCUCCGGUUCGUGACUUGGGUGAAGGACUAGUCAAGGUAGAGGUGGCUGUGGUUCGAUUCGGUUCCGGCAGGUGACGACGAAGCUGCAGCGACGUGAUGAAGAUGACGGUGGGUCUCGGCAGAAGUUGAAGCUGGUGGUUGUUCCGGCUAGCGGCGCCGGCGACGGAGACGACGACGGCAGCAGGUGGUCCGUGAACUCGUGAAUCACUGGGUCAGUUAUGUCCAUCUGUGGUGUGGUUGACCAACUCAGGACAAACGCUUUAUUUACCGAGGAAAGCAAAGGUCUUUAGGUCCAUAAGGACUGGAACUUGCUAUCUGGGAAGCUGGAGUGGUCAUGGGUCGAGAUACGUGGAAACACAGCACAACGCAGAGAGCUUUUACAUGUGAUUUAUAAACACUUAACGAAUUAAAUAUGCUUCCGCUGUAAACUGUGAACUAUU
Molecule: long non-coding RNA, 624 nt
Filed under: Helianthus annuus (common sunflower)
Lineage: Eukaryota; Viridiplantae; Streptophyta; Magnoliopsida; Asterales; Asteraceae
Description: hypothetical non coding rna
Source: RNAcentral